RNAcentral lists this ribosomal RNA (305 nucleotides) under uncultured bacterium. Its description in RNAcentral is "bacterial SSU rRNA". It matches the Rfam family "Bacterial small subunit ribosomal RNA", at positions 335 to 657 of the family's 1533-position model. The record is from RNAcentral.
UUGCCUACGGGACGCAGCAGUGGGGAAUAUUGCACAAUGGGGGAAACCCUGAUGCAGCAACGCCGCGUGAGUGAAGAAGUCAUUCGUGAUGUAAAGCUCUAUCAGCAGGGAAGAAAAUGACGGUACCUGAGUAAGAAGCCCCGGCUAACUACGUGCCAGCAGCCGCGGUAAUACGUAGGGGGCAAGCGUUAUCCGGAUUUACUGGGUGUAAAGGGAGCGCAGACGGCAGUGCAAGUCUGGAGUGAAAGCCCGGGGCCCAACCCCGGAACUGCUCUGGAAACUGUGCGGCUAGAGUACUGGAGGGG